AUGGGAUGCCUUGUCCGGUGUAAGCUAAACGUAGAUGGAACACAGUAUGUGGUCACUGAAUAUUUUGACGAGCACAACCACAAACUCAUAAAGAAGUUCGACCUGGUCAAAUUUCUGACCGCCCACAAAGGAUUCACCCCCCUCGAAAGGAAAUUCAUAAAGCUGCUACAUGAUUGUAACGUCGGUCCAUCAAGAAUGGUCCAGAUACUAUCACUCAUCCACAACAAAAAGGGGACUUUGAGUAGCAUGCCCUACAUACCAGCCGACGUCACAAACCUAAAGGCAAAGUACCAUAGAGAGAGCAAGUUGGCUGACAUAGAGGCCACAAUGGCCUACUUUGAUGAGAAAGCGAAGGAAGAUCCAGAUUUCUUCUACAGGAUAAGGUUGGACGAUGAGGACCGGGUCAGGAACAUGUAUUGGGUGGAUGGUGCUGCAAGGAGAGCCUACAAACAUUUCCGAGAUUGCAUUUCAUUCGACGCGACAUAUCUGACUAAUAUGUACAAGAUGCCAUGCGCUCCAUUCAUAGGAAUAAAUAACCACAACACAGAUGGGUACGUUUGUCUGUUUAAGACCUUCUUGGAGUGCAUGGAUGGACUUGCUCCGAUGAACAUAAUAACAUACCAGGAUUUUAGCAUGCGUGCAUGCAUAGAGGAGGUCUUUCCGUUGGCAGUGCAUAGGCACUGCAGGUGGCACAUUAUAAAGAAGGCUGAGGAAAUGCUAGGACCAUUCUUUGCUACUACGCAGCGCAGCGAGGGGUUCAAUGCUGUUUUGAAGCGGUACGAUGGCAUUGUGUGCUGUCACAUACUAAAAGUAAUGGACAUGAACGCUGUGACACGGAUGCCCCGCCAUUUCAUAAGGCGGCGAUGGACUUGGGACACUGACGACACGUUGGCACCACAGACAAUAAACACAGUUCUGGCUGUGCAUGACGAGAGACCUGAGUCAACCAUGGAAGCCGUGAGGCACGUUGUUGCUAAUUGA
This 981-nucleotide ribosomal RNA is filed under the name Triticum aestivum (bread wheat). Its description in RNAcentral is "partial small subunit ribosomal RNA". Lineage: Eukaryota; Viridiplantae; Streptophyta; Magnoliopsida; Poales; Poaceae. The record is from RNAcentral.